AUACGUAGGGGGCGAGCGUUGUCCGGAAUGAUUGGGCGUAAAGGGCGCGUAGGCGGCGCGGUAAGUCUGGAGUGAAAGUCCUGCUUUCAAGGUGGGAAUUGCUUUGGAUGCUGCCGCGCUUGAGUGCAGGAGAGGUUAUCGGAAUUCCCGGUGUAGCGGUGAAAUGCGUAGAGAUCUGGAGGAACACCAGUGGCGAAGGCGGGUAACUGGACUGCAACUGACGCUGAGGCGCGAAAGUGUGGGGAGCAAACAGGAUUAGAUACCCUGGUAGUCCACACUGUAAACGAUGAAUGCUAGGUGUAAGAGGUAUCGAGCCCUUGUGUGCCGGAGUCAACACAAUAAGCAUUCCGCCUGGGGAGUACGGCCGCAAGGUUGAAACUCAAAUGAAUUGACGGGG
RNAcentral lists this ribosomal RNA (397 nucleotides) under uncultured bacterium. RNAcentral describes it as "partial 16S ribosomal RNA". It matches the Rfam family "Bacterial small subunit ribosomal RNA", at positions 523 to 918 of the family's 1533-position model. The record is from RNAcentral.